CCUACGGGUGGCAGCAGUGAGGAAUAUUGGUCAAUGGGCGCGAGCCUGAACCAGCCAAGUAGCGUGAAGGAUGACUGCCCUACGGGUUGUAAACUUCUUUUAUAAAGGAAUAAAGUGAGGCACGUGUGCCUUUUUGUAUGUACUUUAUGAAUAAGGAUCGGCUAACUCCGUGCCAGCAGCCGCGGUAAUACGGAGGAUCCGAGCGUUAUCCGGAUUUAUUGGGUUUAAAGGGAGCGUAGAUGGGUUGUUAAGUCAGUUGUGAAAGUUUGCGGCUCAACCGUAAAAUUGCAAUUGAUACUGGCAGCCUUGAGUACAGUUGAGGUAGGCGGAAUUCGUGGUGUAGCGGUGAAAUGCUUAGAUAUCACGAAGAACUCCGAUUGCGAAGGCAGCUUUCUGGACUGAAACUGACGCUGAGGCACGAAAGCGUGGGGAGCGAACAGGAUUAGAUACCCUGGUAGUC
RNAcentral lists this ribosomal RNA (460 nucleotides) under uncultured bacterium. RNAcentral describes it as "partial 16S ribosomal RNA". It matches the Rfam family "Bacterial small subunit ribosomal RNA", at positions 338 to 795 of the family's 1533-position model. The record is from RNAcentral.